UACGUAGGGGGCAAGCGUUGUCCGGAUUUAUUGGGCGUAAAGAGCGUGUAGGCGGCUUGGUAGGUCCGCUGUGAAAACUCGAGGCUCAACCUCGAGAUGUCGGCGGAAACCACUUGGCUAGAGUCCGGAAGAGGAGAGUGGAAUUCCCGGUGUAGCGGUGAAAUGCGCAGAUAUCGGGAAGAACACCUAUGGCGAAGGCAGCUCGCUGGGACGGUACUGACGCUAAGGCGCGAAAGCGUGGGGAGCGAACAGG
RNAcentral lists this ribosomal RNA (253 nucleotides) under uncultured bacterium. RNAcentral describes it as "partial 16S ribosomal RNA". It matches the Rfam family "Bacterial small subunit ribosomal RNA", at positions 524 to 776 of the family's 1533-position model. The record is from RNAcentral.